Mauremys mutica (yellowpond turtle) is the source of this 633-nucleotide non-coding RNA. The record is from the annotation of a RefSeq genome assembly. NCBI's taxonomy places the organism in Eukaryota, Metazoa, Chordata, Testudines, Geoemydidae.
UACAGCAAGGUAUUUUAGGGCUGCACCCGGAGACCCGAUUCGCAGCCUCCUGGGUCUGAGCAGUUCCCAGCCAGUCGCCUGAGAACUUUCCGCUCCAGCACCAGGAAAAAUGAGAUUUUUGCUCCUUUUAAGUUUCGUGGCAGCAGCUUUAGAAGGUGUCCGGUCCCAGGUCAAGCUGGUGGAGUCCGGAGGGGGGGUGAAAAGCCCCGGAGAGUCUGUUUUCCUCACCUGCAAAAUCUCCGGGUUCGUCCUCAGCGAUUCCUACAUGAGCUGGCUCCGACAGGCUCCAGGAAAGGGACUAGAAUGGGUCAGUUCUAUAAACCCCGACGGGAGCCAGACACGCUACCGUGAUUCAGUGAAAGGCCGAUUCACCAUCUCCAGGGAUAAUUACGAGAAUGAGCUGUAUCUGCGACUGUCCCACCUGGAACCCGAGGACACCGCCAUCUAUUACUGUGAGAAAGGCACAGCGACACCCCCUUCUCCCAGCAGCCACGUGGGGGCAGCAGUGACAGUCACCCCGCUUCGGGCUUAGACAGGAGACCUGGCAACUGGGUGAAUGUAACACAAACCUACCGUUUGUGUUACAUUCACCCUACGGUUACUCACAUCUUCUUGUCAAGUGUUUGAAAUGGG